This 465-nucleotide ribosomal RNA is filed under the name uncultured bacterium. RNAcentral describes it as "partial 16S ribosomal RNA". It matches the Rfam family "Bacterial small subunit ribosomal RNA", at positions 338 to 795 of the family's 1533-position model. The record is from RNAcentral.
CCUACGGGUGGCAGCAGUGGGGAAUAUUGCACAAUGGGCGCAAGCCUGACGCAGCCACGCCGCGUGUAGGAUGAAGGUCUUCGGAUCGUAAACCACUUUCAGCAGGGAAGAACGGUCUCUAUUCUAUUCCGUUAUGAAUUGACGUUACCUGCAAAAGAAGCACCGGCUAACUCCGUGCCAGCAGCCGCGGUAAUACGGAGGGUGCGAGCGUUAAUCGGAAUUACUGGGCGUAAAGCGCUCGUAGGCGGUAUGUCAAGUCAGGUGUGAAAUCCCCGGGCUCAACGUGGGAACUGCCUCUGAAACUGGCAAGCUGGAGUGUGUGAGAGGAUGGUGGAAGUCCAGGUGUAGGGGUGAAAUGCGUAGAGAUCUGGAGGAACAUCAGUGGCGAAGGCGGCUAUCUGGCACAAAACUGACGCUGAGGAGCGAAAGCGUGGGUAGCAAACAGGAUUAGAUACCCGAGUAGUC